UACCCCCACUCCCCAACCGCAGCCGGCUCAAAUCUCACAGGGUGAGUCCAACCUCUUUGCCAAGAUUUGAACUAAGCUUACUCUUGCAGCAUCAUUUCCUUUCACCUGGCCUUUGCAACUUCCAUGUCAACACUGCAACCUACACUCGCAGUAAAUCAGAUUCCUGAAGUUUCCUAAACACAUUAUGACAGUGUUGUCCAACAGAACUUUCUGUGAUGAUGUAAAUGUUCUAUGCCCAUUCUAUACGAUACCAGUCAUAGGUGGGUAAUUGGGAACUUAAAAGUUGGCAAAUGUGACUAAGAGGCAGGCCAUGUUGACAACUGAGAGAUGGGAUUGGUGGAGGCGGGCAAACACGUUUGAACCAAAUCAAAGUAUGGAACCACACACAGGAUAAAAAGAAAAGAAAGCAGAUCCUGCCUCCUUAAGAACUACAUGAUCAGACGGACCAAAGAUCAGGCGGGCACCGUCUAUCCAAACCCAAGAAAGAAUCAGUCUGUCACACGUCUCAUCAGUUACUUAACUGGGAACACCACCACAGCGGUAAAGCUCCACAGCUUCUCCACCCCAAAACAACUCAAAAACUUCAAUCCUGCCAGUGGGGACCCACAGUCCGCAUGAAAAUCAACACUACUUCCAGCAGCAAAGACUUGCAACGCUUUUUAUUCCGUAACCAGUACCACCAGACCACGUCCAGCCCCAACCUCUCCGAAAAUCCCAGCAAGAAAGUAAAUCAUCAAUCACUGACAGGCCUUCGAAGUCCGACAAGGUCCUGACUUGCUCCUAACAACGCAGACCAAGGACAGUCCUAAACCAAGACAAAAAGGCUCCCUGUCUAGCCCACACCCUACCCUCCUCCGCAGAGAUUCAGCCGGCCCGAGGUCACCACGGUCAGAGGGACCCUCCCAGCCCCUGGCUGGACCAAGAUUCUAGGCCAUCUUUCCAAAGCUCACCGCCAAGGAGGGCUGGAAAACCUCAGUCCUGAGUCUCCAGCCUGGAGCUCCAGCCUGGAGACAGAAUCUGGCUCCCAGCUACCUAACACCCAAGUCAGGGGAAAGCCCGGCACCUACAC
Acinonyx jubatus (cheetah) is the source of this 1069-nucleotide long non-coding RNA. RefSeq lists it as uncharacterized. The record is from RefSeq and is a predicted model, not a curated record. The transcript is spliced from 3 exons. NCBI's taxonomy places the organism in Eukaryota, Metazoa, Chordata, Mammalia, Carnivora, Felidae.